RNAcentral lists this ribosomal RNA (492 nucleotides) under uncultured bacterium. Its description in RNAcentral is "partial 16S ribosomal RNA". It matches the Rfam family "Bacterial small subunit ribosomal RNA", at positions 29 to 507 of the family's 1533-position model. The record is from RNAcentral.
AGUGAACGCUGGCGGUAGGCCUAACACAUGCCAGCCGAACGGCAGCACAGUAAGAGCUUGCUCUUACGGGUGGCGAGUGGCGGACGGGUGAGGAAUACAUCGGAAUCUACUUUUUCGUGGGGGAUAACGUAGGGAAACUUACGCUAAUACCGCAUACGACCUACGGGUGAAAGCAGGGGAUCUUCGGACCUUGCGCGAUUGAAUGAGCCGAUGCCGGAUUAGCUAGUUGGCGGGGUAAAGGCCCACCAAGGCGACGAUCCGUAGCUGGUCUGAGAGGAUGAUCAGCCACACUGGAACUGAGACACGGUCCAGACUCCUACGGGAGGCAGCAGUGGGGAAUAUUGGACAAUGGGCGCAAGCCUGAUCCAGCCAUACCGCGUGGGUGAAGAAGGCCUUCGGGUUGUAAAGCCCUUUUGUUGGGAAAGAAAAGCAGCAGGUUAAUACCCCGCUGUUCUGACGGUACCCAAAGAAUAAGCACCGGCUAACUUCGUG